UUGACGGGACCGCACAAGCGGUGGAUGAUGUGGUUUAAUUCGAUGCAACGCGAAAACCUUACCCACCUUUGACAUGGCAGGAAUCCCGAAGAGAUUUGGGAGUGCUCGAAAGAGAACCUGCACACAGGUGCUGCAUGGCUGUCGUCAGCUCGUGUCGUGAGAUGUUGGGUUAAGUCCCGCAACGAGCGCAACCCUUGCCAUUAGUUGCUACGAAAGGGCACUCUAAUGGGACUGCCGGUGACAAACCGGAGGAAGGUGGGGAUGACGUCAAGUCCUCAUGGCCCUUAUAGGUGGGGCUACACACGUCAUACAAUGGCCGGUACAGAGGGUAGCCAACCCGCGAGGGGGAGCCAAUCCCACAAAGCCGGUCGUAGUCCGGAUCGCAGUCUGCAACUCGACUGCGUGAAGUCGGAAUCGCUAGUAAUCGCGGAUCAGCAUGUCGCGGUGAAUACGUUCCCGGGUCUU
RNAcentral lists this ribosomal RNA (465 nucleotides) under uncultured Allobrachymonas sp. RNAcentral's name for it is "bacterial SSU rRNA". It matches the Rfam family "Bacterial small subunit ribosomal RNA", at positions 910 to 1382 of the family's 1533-position model. The record is from RNAcentral. Lineage: Bacteria; Pseudomonadati; Pseudomonadota; Betaproteobacteria; Burkholderiales; Comamonadaceae.